This is a long non-coding RNA of Felis catus (domestic cat), 1362 nucleotides long. RefSeq lists it as uncharacterized. The record is from RefSeq and is a predicted model, not a curated record. The transcript has 4 exons. NCBI's taxonomy places the organism in Eukaryota, Metazoa, Chordata, Mammalia, Carnivora, Felidae.
AGUCACGCUCUCGUAUGAGUCAGUCCCAUCAGGAAAACGGAAGUCACACUGGCUGUUUUAAGAGAGAAAUCUUAAUGUAAGGAAUUGGCUCAACAGUAUUGGACAAGUGGAAAAGCAAACAGUGAGAUAUCAGAGGUAUGACUGCAGGAAACAGAUACCAUCCCUCGGGAUGGGGGGACAGAGGGAGAAGCUGAGAUUAUUAGAAUCUAGAAACUGGAACCCCGACCCUUGACGAGGGCACGCCUGUGGCUGGUGUUGAUGCAUCCGCAGGGAGGCCGGUUCUGGGGAUGUGAGAAACAGUUGGAAACUGGAACCAGUUGCCACUGCCGGGGCGAAGAGCUAUUGUGAGGUGACGUUGCCACAAAGGAAGGGCCAGCAGGAAGCCUCAAGUCCUUUUCCGGGGGCCAUCUUGUGCUCUCUAGCGCCCCCUAUGGACAGAGCCUGCCGUGGAAACAGCUGGAGAAACAAGUGUCACAAGACAGAACAGAGAGAAGUGAGUCACUGAGUCCAGUCCUGGAGGAAGAAAAUUAAGCUCCACUUCCCGGAGGGAGAAGUAUCAGAGAAUCCGUGGACAUCUGUUCAAACCACUAUGCUUCUGGAAGACUUGGGUGUGGCUGCUGUGGGGCCAGAACAAGGACCCAGCGGGUGCAGCUCAGUGCUCUGAGCUCCCACCCUGCUGUCCAGGUCCCCUCGCCAGCACGCCUGGCUACUCCCCAGACAGCAGGACGAACAAGCCUCCAUUGAUUCUGCAUCAUGGCUAGAAGAAUGCCCCUUUGUUGAACACUUCCCCCUCCUCCUGUGUGUCUUUGCCCACAGGAGAGGCAUUCAGGUCCUGCUCGCACGCCUGCUGCUCCGUGGAUCCCCACCAGAACGGGAAGCUUGUCAAAAGGAGGAAGCAUGGGCUGUUCCUCUCUGUACCCCUGUGCCCAACCCGGAGCUUGGCCUUGAAGCGACACUUCAGAGUCUCAAGGAACAAAUGAACUGGCUUCUGUCGGUGGCUCUACCACCUCCCAAUCACCCAGGCCUGAAACCUGACCAGCCCAAUGCCUGGCUGGUCACAAGCUCUGCUGAUUCUCCCUGAAAAGCCACCCCGACUUCUCAGUCUGGGCUUCACAGCCCUCCCCAGGCUGGCACCAACCUAGCCAACUGCGUCCCGGGGGUCCCCUCCUUCUGCCGGCCUGGACUCUCCACUGCUCACUCAUCCACCCACCUCCACGCUAUUUACUGAGCCCAUACUGAGCCCUGCCAUUGCUCCAGGGGCUGGGGAUGCAGGGGACAGGCAGACUGAGUCCUCUCCCUCAAGGCUCACACAGUCUCUUGGGGGUAGACGGACAAUAAAUCGGUGUGCAAAUGACAGAAUAA